CGAGUAUGCUAUUGGGUCCGACUAAGCCAUGCGAGUCGAGAGGGUUCGGCCCUCGGCGUACUGCUCAGUAACACGUGGAUAAUCUGACCUUAGGUGGAGCAUAACCUCGGGAAACUGAGAAUAAUACUCCAUAGAUCUUUGAGGCUGGAAUGCGCUUAGAUUAAAAGCUCCGGCGCCUAAGGAUGAGUCUGCGGACUAUCAGGUUGUAGUCAGGGUAAUGACCUGACUAGCCUACGACGGAUACGGGUUGUGAGAGCAAUAACCCGGAGAUGAUAUCUGAGACACGAUAUCAGGCCCUACGGGGCGCAGCAGGCGCGAAACCUUCACAAUGUGCGAAAGCGCGAUGAGGGGAUCCCAAGUGCUUGCACGUAAGUGUAAGCUGUUUCUUUGUUUAAAAAGCAGAGAGAGUAAGGGCUGGGUAAGACGGGUGCCAGCCGCCGCGGUAAUACCUGCAGCUCAAGUGGUGGCCGCUAUUAUUGGGCCUAAAACGUCCGUAGCCUGCUGGGUAAAUGCCUGGGUAAAUCGUGUCGCUUAACGAUACGAAUUCCGGGUAGACUGCCUAGCUUGAGACCGGAAGAAGUUAGAGGUACUCCUGGGGUAGGGGUGAAAUCCUGUAAUCCUGGGGGGACCACCGAUGGCGAAGGCAUCUAGCUGGAACGGGCCUGACGGUGAGGGACGAAACCCAGGGGAGCGAGCCGGAUUAGAUACCCGGGUAGUCCUGGGCGUAAAUGAUGUGGGCUUGGUGUGAGUGCAUCGACGAGGUGCCCUUGUGCCGUAUGGAAGCCGUUAAGCCCACCG
This 798-nucleotide ribosomal RNA is filed under the name uncultured archaeon. Its description in RNAcentral is "bacterial SSU rRNA". It matches the Rfam family "Archaeal small subunit ribosomal RNA", at positions 21 to 826 of the family's 1478-position model. The record is from RNAcentral.